CUCGGUCUAAUCUCACUCUGCGUAUAAUCUCGGUCUAAUCUCACUCUGUGCGUAUAAUCUUGUAUUAAUCUCACUGUGUGUGUAUAAUCUCGAUCUAAUCACACUGUGUGCGUAUAAUCUCGGUCUAAUCACCCUGCGUUCUUAUAAUCUCGGUCUAAUCUCACUCUGUGCGUGUAAUCUCGGUCUAAUCUCACUCUGUGCGUAUAAUCUCGGUCUAAUCACACUGCGUGCGUAUAAUC
Pelobates cultripes (western spadefoot toad) is the source of this 239-nucleotide non-coding RNA. NCBI's taxonomy places the organism in Eukaryota, Metazoa, Chordata, Amphibia, Anura, Pelobatidae. The record is from the annotation of a GenBank genome assembly.